RNAcentral lists this ribosomal RNA (253 nucleotides) under uncultured bacterium. RNAcentral describes it as "partial 16S ribosomal RNA". It matches the Rfam family "Bacterial small subunit ribosomal RNA", at positions 524 to 776 of the family's 1533-position model. The record is from RNAcentral.
UACAUGUGGGGCAAGCGUUGUUCGGAAUUACUGGGCAUAAAGGGUGCGUAGGUGGUUUGUUAAGUCAGGGGUGAAAUCCCAGAGCUCAACUCUGGAACUGCCUUUGAUACUGGGUAUCUCGAGUAUGGAAGAGGUGAGUGGAAUUCCGAGUGUAGAGGUGAAAUUCGUAGAUAUUCGGAGGAACACCAGUGGCGAGGGCGGCUCACUGGUCCAUUACUGACGCUGAGGUGCGAAAGCGUGGGGAGCAAACAGG